Long non-coding RNA from Scatophagus argus, 356 nucleotides. RefSeq lists it as uncharacterized. Lineage: Eukaryota; Metazoa; Chordata; Actinopteri; Scatophagidae. The transcript has 2 exons. The record is from RefSeq and is a predicted model, not a curated record.
AGUUUGUUUUGUUUGCAAAUGAAGCGGUAAUCAACACAACUCGUGAGAACCGUUUCAGUUCAGAGCGAAGGCGCUCGUCUUCCGUCUCCGGACAGCCACAGGACUACACGACCGCAUCGAGAGACUGGAUUACAAACUUUCUUGCAAACCGUCCAGCCAGUCCUGGUUUCUAACUGAUUCUGGUCUGACAUUACCAUGUUGAGGAGAAGCUGUUUAAAAGUCUCCUGGAUUGUGGCACAAAGGAGUCCUGCUGCAGGUUCUCAAACCAGGUGAGAGAACUUGUUUGAAAAACUCUGAAACUCAUCUGACCAAAGUCUAUCAAAAGCUUUUGUUUUUGUCAUAUAAAUAACUUUGAA